RNAcentral lists this ribosomal RNA (980 nucleotides) under uncultured Bacteroides sp. Its description in RNAcentral is "bacterial SSU rRNA". It matches the Rfam family "Bacterial small subunit ribosomal RNA", at positions 1 to 933 of the family's 1533-position model. Lineage: Bacteria; Pseudomonadati; Bacteroidota; Bacteroidia; Bacteroidales; Bacteroidaceae. The record is from RNAcentral.
GGNGCUCUCCCAUAUGGUCGACCUGCAGGCGGCCGCGAAUUCACUAGUGAUUAGAGUUUGAUCCUGGCUCAGGAUGAACGCUAGCUACAGGCUUAACACAUGCAAGUCGAGGGGCAGCAUGACUUAGCAAUAGGUUGAUGGCGACCGGCGCACGGGUGAGUAACACGUAUCCAACCUGCCGAUUAUUCCGGGAUAGCCUUUCGAAAGAAAGAUUAAUACUGGAUAGCAUAACGAGAAGGCAUCUUCUUGUUAUUAAAGAAUUUCGAUAAUCGAUGGGGAUGCGUUCCAUUAGUUUGUUGGCGGGGUAACGGCCCACCAAGACAUCGAUGGAUAGGGGUUCUGAGAGGAAGGUCCCCCACAUUGGAACUGAGACACGGUCCAAACUCCUACGGGAGGCAGCAGUGAGGAAUAUUGGUCAAUGGACGAGAGUCUGAACCAGCCAAGUAGCGUGAAGGAUGACUGCCCUAUGGGUUGUAAACUUCUUUUAUAUGGGAAUAAAGUGGGCCACGUGUGGCCUUUUGUAUGUACCAUACGAAUAAGGAUCGGCUAACUCCGUGCCAGCAGCCGCGGUAAUACGGAGGAUCCGAGCGUUAUCCGGAUUUAUUGGGUUUAAAGGGAGCGUAGGCGGAUUAUUAAGUCAGUUGUGAAAGUUUGCGGCUCAACCGUAAAAUUGCAGUUGAUACUGGUAGUCUUGAGUGCAGCAGAGGUAGGCGGAAUUCGUGGUGUAGCGGUGAAGUGCUUAGAUAUCACGAAGAACUCCGAUUGCGAAGGCAGCUUACUGGACUGUAACUGACGCUGAUGCUCGAAAGUGUGGGUAUCAAACAGGAUUAGAUACCCUGGUAGUCCACACAGUAAACGAUGAAUACUCGCUGUUUGCGAUAUACGGCAAGCGGCCAAGCGAAAGCAUUAAGUAUUCCACCUGGGGAGUACGCCGGCANCGGUGAAACUCAAAGGAANUGACGGGGGCCCGCACNAGCNGA